Molecule: long non-coding RNA, 1226 nt
Filed under: Olea europaea subsp. europaea
Lineage: Eukaryota; Viridiplantae; Streptophyta; Magnoliopsida; Lamiales; Oleaceae
Source: RNAcentral
CUUAUAUUGCCGGAGCUUGAUGAACGAGCCUGUUACCCUAGGCCGGGGUGUGUAGCUAUGAGCGAGGCACUCUUAAGGGCUGGACUUAGGUUGCCUAUCCAUCAUUUCUUUCGGUAUGUCUUUAGGUCAUACGAGCUAGCUCCGCCCCAAUUAAACCUGAACUCCUGGAGUUAGAUGGUGGGCUCCUGGAUGUUGUGGAAGGAGGCGUAUCUUGGGGUAGAGAUGCCCUUUUCAGUCUUUCAAACCCUGUACAUCCCUAAAGUGGCGGCCGGGGGAUAAGACUAAGGGGUGGUAUUACUUAACCUCCUAGGGGGCCCAUACUCCAUUCAUGCUAGACCCACCGAGCUCAAUAAAGGACUGGAAGACGUCAUGGUGCUGGGCAUUCGGAAGGAGGGACACAAUGGAGGGGGACCCCCUGGCGCCCCUCACAGUCCUAACUACUUAUUUAUCGCUCAGUGAGUGCUGAUGCCCUGUGUUUAAAUUUCUUUUGAGCUUCUGUUUGGUUCCUGGCCUAUGUUUGUUGUUUGCAGGCACUCUUCCUCGGUAUGAGAUAUCCACUGAAGAAUUUGACAUAAUUUGCAUUUUUUUAUCAGUUCCCACUGAAGAGGAGAUCUUAUCACGAGCUGAUCAAGAAGAAUAGACACUUUGUUAUGCACGACCUAAUGGCCUCUCAAGGUGAGUUUCUAAAGGGGCUUUAUUGUCGUAGGUUUCCAAACUCCAUAUACUUGUACUAAUUUUCUCGAUUCCCUGCAGAUAAUUUCAACAAGAAGAGGCCCCUGAGGCCUAAUUUUAAGAAAAAAUGAUGGCCAAGGCAAGGGCCUUGAAGACCUUCUCCUCUGCCUAUAAGAAGCAGAUCGAUGAGCUGGUGACUGCAAGCAAACGGCUUCAGCCAAUUGGCGGAGGAAGAGGAAGCAGAAGAGCCAAAAGCAAACUUGCUAAGGAAGGGUAAGAAGGCUGCUGGCUCCUCGAAGGGGUCAACCGUGGCAAGGCCCCCUCGGUUCUAAAGCAGACCACGAUACCCACCGGGGUGGCCAUCCGGGAGAAGACAAUUUGCCCUUCCGAGGCUUCCCAAGUUGCUGCUGCUUCAGCUGAAGCUUCGCUCCCUGCAGUGCCACUUUCCCAAGUGCCAGGGCAGCAGAAGAGGAAGAGGGCUCAUCCUGCAAAGGAGGCAAAUUUUCUGAGCGUCAACAUUGACGAGCUCGUGAAUGAGGUACUGGAAGCCUUGC